Molecule: transfer RNA, 85 nt
Filed under: Candidatus Saccharimonadota bacterium
Lineage: Bacteria; Candidatus Saccharimonadota
Also listed under: 1 other name
Description: tRNA-Leu
Rfam family: tRNA
About the family: Transfer RNA (tRNA) molecules are approximately 80 nucleotides in length. Their secondary structure includes four short double-helical elements and three loops (D, anti-codon, and T loops).
Source: RNAcentral
GGGCGAGUGGCGGAAUUGGUAUACGCUGCGGACUUAAAAUCCGUUGCCGCAAGGCUUGAGGGUUCAAGUCCCUCCUCGCCCACCA